This 451-nucleotide ribosomal RNA is filed under the name uncultured bacterium. RNAcentral describes it as "bacterial SSU rRNA". It matches the Rfam family "Bacterial small subunit ribosomal RNA", at positions 354 to 796 of the family's 1533-position model. The record is from RNAcentral.
GUGGGGAAUCUUGCGCAAUGGGGGAAACCCUGACGCAGCAACGCCGCGUGGGUGAUGAAGGUCUUCGGAUCGUAAAGCCCUGUCGGAGGGAACGAUGGCCUCGUUGGCUAAUAUCCAACGGGGUUGACGGUACCCUCAAAGGAAGCACCGGCUAACUCUGUGCCAGCAGCCGCGGUAAGACAGAGGGUGCAAGCGUUGUUCGGAAUUAUUGGGCGUAAAGCGCGCGUAGGCGGCUGACUAAGUCGGGUGUGAAAGCCCAGGGCUCAACCCUGGAAGUGCAUUCGAUACUGGUCGGCUUGAGUGUUGGAGAGGGUGGUGGAAUUCCUGGUGUAGAGGUGAAAUUCGUAGAUAUCAGGAGGAACACCGGUGGCGAAGGCGACCACCUGGACAACUACUGACGCUGAGGUGCGAAAGCGUGGGGAGCAAACAGGAUUAGAAACCCUGGUAGUCC